RNAcentral lists this ribosomal RNA (379 nucleotides) under uncultured bacterium. RNAcentral describes it as "bacterial SSU rRNA". It matches the Rfam family "Bacterial small subunit ribosomal RNA", at positions 32 to 391 of the family's 1533-position model. The record is from RNAcentral.
AAUCAACGCUGGCGGCGUGCCUCAGACAUGCAAGUCGAACGCGAAAGUUUCCUUCGGGGAGCGAGUAGAGUGGCGCACGGGUGAGUAACACGUAGGUAAUCUACCUUCGGAUGGGGAAUAACAAUCGGAAACGGUUGCUAAUACCGCAUAAUGCAGCGGCACCUAAUGGUGACAGUUGUUAAAGCGGGGGAUCGUAAGACCUCGCGUCUGAAGAGGAGCCUGCGGCGGAUUAGCUUGUUGGUAAGGUAAUGGCUUACCAAGGCGACGAUCCGUAACCGGCCUGAGAGGGCGGUCGGUCACACUGACACUGACAUACGGGUCAGACUCCUACGGAGGCAGCAGUCGGGAAUUUUGGGCAAUGGGCGAAAGCCUGACCCAG